AUUUACACCUUCAAAGAAAGGAUGUUGCUUGAUUUCUGUGGCUCCUCUUUUGUAUGCCAGUCUAUGCUGAGGCUCCUUCACGAGCAAGCCUCGGAUAAGAUCUCUAGCUGAGAAACUGACCACUGGAGAUUCUGGAAACCGCAAGGGCUGACCAACAACGUUGAAAAGAGUUUGUCGAUUUCCUGAUCCCUUGAAGGGUGUUUUGCCAAACAGUAACUCAUAUAGAAAGAUACCAAAGGUCCACCAG
RNAcentral lists this unclassified non-coding RNA (247 nucleotides) under Hevea brasiliensis (rubber tree). Lineage: Eukaryota; Viridiplantae; Streptophyta; Magnoliopsida; Malpighiales; Euphorbiaceae. The record is from RNAcentral.